AGAUGAUGCUAAGAUUGAGCUUGUAUUUGACGUCCACAUUGAGCAGGUAACCAUUCUCCAGAUUGAGCUAGUAACCGUUGUCCAGAUUGAACAGGUAGCCUCUGUCCAGAUUGACCUGAUAUAUUUUCAGCAUUAUUCCUCAACUUCUCUUGUCUGAAAUAUAAAAGAUAAUAGAUUAUCAGGUGAGAUAACUCUAAAAAUCAAAUAAAUGCAAGGUGUUCAAUGUCAUUUUAAUGCAGUUGUCUGCCAUGGAUAAAAAUGCAAACCAUAAUAUAGUGUUUAUUUGAAAAUGCAUGGCUACAUGAUAUUUGAAAAUAGAUUUAUCAUUCUUGUCUCAACCUUCUGACUUAAAACUAAUAUUCACUUAUGCAAUUGUUACAUUUCAACAGCCUGCCAAAAUUAACAUCCAUUCUUCAAAAUCAUAAAAAAAACAUUCAUCUCUUACUGCCAAUGUCCUAAUAUUACAGACCUCUAAAAAAUGCAAUACUGCCAAGAUUUAAGGACUGAAAAUAGUCUACAUUUAAAGUCCGCAGUCACAGAAAUUAAGAUUAUGGGGCCGUUUGGGUUAACUUAAAAGAAGUGACUUCUUGCUUAUAGUAAAGAAGUGGAGUAGAAGUGAGAAGUAAAUAAGUUAAUAAAGUGUUUGGAAAAGAAGCAGAAGCUGUGAGAGAGAAGCUAGCAUUUUCAGCUUCUUCUACUUCUUUACACAAACGGGUCAAAAGAAGCAGAAGCCAGAAGCAGAUUCUGCUUCCGUAAACCAAACAGGCCCUAUAAUGAAAAUAUAGUCAACUUAAAUGACUUACUUGGUCGGAGUAAUUGGCUUUGUCUAUGGUUGUCUUGGUGAACUCAGUCGCUUUUCUACUUUCGAUCUGACUAUUAGAGGUAAAGCCAUCUUUGUCAACAAUUACAGUCAAAUUGAGUUUCUUUUCACUAACAAACUGCAAUAUAAUAAUUAGAUCAUAUGAUUAGUAAUACUUAGUCAUUCUAAAAGUCCAAGUCGAUUACCUAAAUGCACAGCCUUAUUUAAAAGACAAUACAUACCUUAUUAUUUAACUCAACUGGACAUAAUGAAUGAUAAAUGAUAGAAAUAAAAUAAGUAAAGAAUUAGAGUGAAGUUAUAUACUCAAUAUAUAUAAAAGGUAGACUCACUAAAAUCUCAAGUCCUAUAACAAUGUGAAGUUUUUACAAAUUCAUAUGUUUGAGCACACAAAACUAUAUAAAAGAGAGCUCAUAAAAGGUCAGGUCACAGGUCUGAAAAAACUGUGUAAAAAUCUCGAAGCUUAGAAUCCAGAAUGUGAACUUAAUAAGAUCACUACUUUGACCGUCAUUCACUAGUCUCUUGAUUUCAAGCACAUAUUGAGUGUCAUCCAUUUAUUCAAGAGAAGCCUCUAACUAUAGAAAUAACAGAGAAAAAGUGCAUGUAGCAAAACCCAACUGUAAGGACCAUGAGGCGGCUCCCAUAUAGCAAAACCCAACUGUAAAUAUGCAUUGAGUUUUUCAAACAAUGAUUCAAAUAGUGCAUGUGGAAGCAAAUGGUAAUCAGCAAAUAAUGGACCAUCCACACAUUUAUAUCACAUGUCUUUAGUGUUUAGUACUAUCCUCCACGUUGCAAGCAUCACAUUUAAAUGAAGAUGCACUACAAGAAAAAUCAUUUUUAAUGAAUUUAAAUGGUAAUCAGCAGAUAAUUACCAGAGAAUCUUCUUGGCUGGUAGACUC
RNAcentral lists this long non-coding RNA (1716 nucleotides) under Daucus carota (carrot). Its description in RNAcentral is "long non-coding RNA (DCAR_LNC001044)". The record is from RNAcentral. Lineage: Eukaryota; Viridiplantae; Streptophyta; Magnoliopsida; Apiales; Apiaceae.